GCUGAAACUUCACACACACAUUCUGGGGACACCAAAGACCAAUAUUACAUCUUGUAUAAAUGGGCAUGAUAGGUGCCCUUUAACAAAGCUGCAGAGUCACUCUCA
Long non-coding RNA from Sinocyclocheilus anshuiensis, 105 nucleotides. RefSeq lists it as uncharacterized. The record is from RefSeq and is a predicted model, not a curated record. Lineage: Eukaryota; Metazoa; Chordata; Actinopteri; Cypriniformes; Cyprinidae. The transcript has 3 exons.